Molecule: unclassified non-coding RNA, 255 nt
Filed under: Hevea brasiliensis (rubber tree)
Lineage: Eukaryota; Viridiplantae; Streptophyta; Magnoliopsida; Malpighiales; Euphorbiaceae
Source: RNAcentral
CUUCUGUUAUAUGCAGACGGGUUGGUAAGUGAAAUCCAGUGAGAAUGAUACGGCUGUUUAAGAAACUGUAGUUUUAUCCCUUGUGUUAAAUCCUUGCUGUUCUUGUUUGUUGAAAAUUGCAAGAAUCAUUGUACUGACCAAAAAUGAGCUAAGAUUGGCAUUUGAAAUUAUGGGAUGGGUUUGUGCUAGCAGUUGAUAUAAGUAAGAAUUGAUAUCAUGUUAUGGAUAAUUUUGGGAGUCACUGGGUGCUAAGAG